AAAUGAAUAGACGGGCACCCGCACAAGCGGUGGAGCAUGCUGUUUAAUUCGACAAUACGCGAAGAACCUUACCUAGGUUUGACAUCCCCUGCAAAGCUAUGGAAACAUAGUGGAGGUUAUCAGGGUGACAGAUGGUGCAUGGUUGUCGUCAGCUCGUGUCGUGAGAUGUUUGGUUAAGUCCAAUAACGAGCGCAACCCUCAUUUUCAGUUACUAACAUUUAGUUGAGGACUCUGAAGAUACAGCCAGUGUAAACUGGAGGAAGGUGGGGAUGACGUCAAAUCAUCAUGCCUCUUACAUCUAGGGCAACAGGCGUGCUACAAUGGCCAGUACAACGAGUCGCAACACGGUGACGUGAAGCUAAUCUCUAAAAGCUGGUCUCAGUCCGGAUUGUAGUCUGCAACUCGACUACAUGAAGUUGGAAUCGCUAGUAAUCCCGGAUCAGAAUGCCGGGGUGAAUACGUUCUCGGGUGUUGUACACACCGCCCGU
This 488-nucleotide ribosomal RNA is filed under the name uncultured bacterium. RNAcentral's name for it is "bacterial SSU rRNA". It matches the Rfam family "Bacterial small subunit ribosomal RNA", at positions 903 to 1397 of the family's 1533-position model. The record is from RNAcentral.